UCCGGUUUGGCACCGGCAGUCUCUCUAGAGUUCCCGGCAUUACCCGCUGGCAACUAGGGAUAGGGGUUGCGCUCGUUGCGCCACUUAAGGCAACACCUCACGGCACGAGCUGACGACAGCCGUGCAGCACCUGUGCAGGCUCCCGAAGGAGCCCCGUGUUUCCACGGGUUUACCCUGCAUGUCAAGCCCUGGUAAGGUUCUUCGCGUUGCGUCGAAUUAAGCCACAUGCUCCGCCGCUUGUGCGGGUCCCCGUCAAUUCCUUUGAGUUUUAGCCUUGCGGCCGUACUCCCCAGGCGGGGCGCUUAAUGCGUUAGCUACGGCACAGAGCAGAAAACCCACCCCACACCUAGCGCCCACCGUUUACGGCGUGGACUAC
This 376-nucleotide unclassified non-coding RNA is filed under the name uncultured Actinomycetes bacterium. Its description in RNAcentral is "uncultured actinobacterium contains 16S-23S intergenic spacer region". The record is from RNAcentral. Lineage: Bacteria; Bacillati; Actinomycetota; Actinomycetes.